GACGAACGCUGGCGGCGUGCUUAACACAUGCAAGUCGAACGGAAAGGCCCCUUUGGGGGUCCUCGAGUGGCGCACGGGUGAGUAACACGUGAGUAACCUGCCCUUGACUUCGGGAUAACUUCAGGAAACUGGGGCUAAUACCGGAUAGGAAUCCUUGCUGCAUGGUGGGGGUUGGAAAGCUUCGGCGGUUUUGGAUGGACUCGCGGCUUAUCAGCUUGUUGGUGGGGUAGUGGCUUACCAAGGCUUUGACGGGUAGCCGGCCUGAGAGGGCGACCGGCCACAUUGGGACUGAGAUUCGGCCCAGACUCCUACGGGAGGCAGCAGUGGGGAAUAUUGCACAAUGGGCGGAAGCCUGAUGCAGCAACGCCGCGUGCGGGAUGACGGCCUUCGGGUUGUAAACCGCUUUCAGCAGGGGCGAAGCUUUUGUGACGGUACCUGCAGAAGAAGCACCGGCUAACUACGUG
Molecule: ribosomal RNA, 464 nt
Filed under: uncultured bacterium
Lineage: Bacteria
Description: partial 16S ribosomal RNA
Rfam family: Bacterial small subunit ribosomal RNA
Source: RNAcentral